CUGCUGCCUUCCGUAGGAGUUUGGGCCGUGUCUCAGUCCCAAUGUGGCCGUCCACCCUCUCAGGCCGGCUACUGAUCGUCGCCUUGGUGGGCCGUUACCCCGCCAACAAGCUAUCAGACGCGGGUCCAUCUUACACCACCGGAGUUUUUCACACAAAUCCAUGCGGCUUCGUGCGCUUAUGCGGUAUUAGCACCUAUUUCUAAGUGUUAUCCCCCAGUGUAAGGCAGGUUACCCACGCGUUACUCACCCGUCCGCCACUAAGUA
This 264-nucleotide ribosomal RNA is filed under the name uncultured bacterium. RNAcentral's name for it is "partial 16S ribosomal RNA". The record is from RNAcentral.